UACGUAGGGGGCAAGCGUUGUCCGGAAUCAUUGGGCGUAAAGAGCGCGUAGGCGGUCCGGUAAGUCCGCUCUGAAAGUCCGGGGCUCAACCCCGGGAGGCGGGCGGAUACUGUCGGGCUAGAGUUCGGAAGAGGCGAGUGGAAUUCCUGGUGUAGCGGUGAAAUGCGCAGAUAUCAGGAGGAACACCAAUGGCGAAGGCAGCUCGCUGGGACGGUACUGACGCUGAGGCGCGAAAGCGUGGGGAGCAAACAGG
This 253-nucleotide ribosomal RNA is filed under the name uncultured bacterium. Its description in RNAcentral is "partial 16S ribosomal RNA". It matches the Rfam family "Bacterial small subunit ribosomal RNA", at positions 524 to 776 of the family's 1533-position model. The record is from RNAcentral.